RNAcentral lists this long non-coding RNA (10972 nucleotides) under Vitis vinifera (wine grape). RNAcentral describes it as "long non-coding RNA (VVIN_LNC002970)". The record is from RNAcentral. Lineage: Eukaryota; Viridiplantae; Streptophyta; Magnoliopsida; Vitales; Vitaceae.
ACCCUAAAAACUCCAAACAUCAAGAAUAUGAGACAAUCGACAAUGAAAACUCUAAAUAUCCAAAGAGAAAAAACAGAGAAUUGAAGAGAGAGUUAGAGACCUAGAUAGGUUGAUUGAGUUGAGAGAGGUGAUCAGAGGAGAGGUGAGGCAAGAGGCCAAGCAGUGCGGAGAGAGCCAUCUCCGAGUGCUUAGGAUGAAUCCGUCGCAUCAAUCCCAAAGUCGCCUCCAUUUUAUUCAAAAAAAGGAUUCGGUUAAGCUCUAGAACCACCACCACCACUCUAGGGACCCUUCCCCCUGAUGACACGUGGCGUGCCUCGCUGUCCGAGGCGACUCCAUCCGGACUCCCCAGAGAAGGACACAUGGCGCGCUCCCCCUAUCCGGACUUCCUUAGGGAAAAGCACACGACACUCGCAAGCAUCACAUCCCCGGACGAUAGCAUAUCCUAUUCGGAUAUGUUGUCCGGAUCGUUGACUAAAGUAAGUAAGUCUUAAUGACAGCUUGCGUGGCCCACGUUUCGCCACCUGCAGAGUGAAAGGACAGAAGUGAUGGCAAAUCACCUCCCACGAUCUCUGACAGCCGUGUCGUAGGGUGAUGAUGACCCUGCCACCACCUAGAGGCAUCAUGACGAGCCAAAAAGUCUCCCUACCAUUAAAGAAGAGGACAGAGCUUCUGAUACUAUAUAUAUGGACCUUCACACAAGAAGGAAGGUAAGCUUGCUAUACCUAGUAAAAGGCCAACUGAUUAAUCUCUCUAAGACAUGGCUGACAAAAUCAUCGAAGGGUGUGUCCGGACACCCUGUCCAUACAUCUUUUGCAGGGACAACUGAACCAGAACUCUAUCUUGGUUGAAAGUGUGCGUCCAUUUGGCAGCUACGUGGAUCAUCGGGACGCAAGGCCUUAACAUUGGCGCCGUCUGUGGGAAACUCGCUGAUUCAGUCACCGGCAAAGAUGUCCACACCUUCCAAAAGCCACUCGUCUGCUAGGGGAGAGGAAGAUAAUUUUGAAUGGCGCUGAGCCAUCGAAAGAAGACAGUUGGCAAGCGAGCGACAACUGCAAGCUCUCCUCCAGGAGACAAUAAGAUUAAGAGAAGAAAACGCUGUGUUGCGAAUAUAGGCUUCAUCAACGGGGCCUCCCCGUCAUUAGCAUUCAAGAGGUCAGGUAGCAAACUCAAGGCCUGACCCAGAGUCAAUAUACCCUGGGGCAGCAGGAGCAAUCCCUGAAACAUGCAACGUUAGGCCACAUGAGCCACACACGCCCAUGCACCGAGCUCCUCAUGAGGAAAGCUCAGACUCUACUCAUCUUUCAACAAAAAGACAACGCGACAAAAAACCCCAUUUGUUAGACUCAAUGCGCGCGAGACUAGGCCCACAGGAGCCUAGGAGGCCAAGGCCGCCAGUUGCCACAACCUGGGGAGCACACCCUGACCCUAUGGUCACCCCUAUGGUGCAUAACGUUCUCCCGCACCGUGACCCUAUGGUCACCCCUAUGGUGCAGAACGUUCACCCGCACCUAGCAGUAUGACAAGCUGGGAGAAACCUCCCAAAGGAGCCACCCAUUGGCUCCAUCAGCAAAAGGCUGGACGACAUGCUCUCCACGCCUUUCUGCUCUCAUAUUAUUCAUUACGAGCCCCCAAGGGGAUUCCUUGUGCCUAAAUUCUCCACGUACGAUGGGUCUAGUGACCCCUUCGACCAUAUCAUGUAUUAUCGACAGCUCAUGACUCUCGAUAUAAGAAACAACGCGCUACUAUGCAAAGUGUUCCCCGCCAGCCUACAAGGGCAGGCCCUCUCAUGGUUUCACCGUCUACCUCCCAACUCUAUUGAUAAUUUCAGGGACCUGUCGGAAGCCUUCGUGGGACAAUACUUAUGCUCCGCUCGGCAUAAGCAGAACAUCAACACUCUGCAAAACAUAAAAAUGCAGGACAACGAGUCCUUGAGGGAGUUCGUGAAACGGUUUGGUCAGGCCGUGCUACAGGUAAAGGCUUACAACAUGGAUGUUGUCCUGCAGAUCUUCAAGCGAAGCAUUGGUCCAAGCACCCCAUUUUUCGAAUCAUUCGCUAAGAAGCCUCCUACGACGAUGGACGACUUGUUCCGGCGUGCGAGCAAAUACUCCAUGCUCGAAGAUGACGUGCGAACAGCCACCCAACAAAUCUUGGUUGUCGGACAAGCAUCCAGAGGUGGUGCAGAAAGAAGUGCCAAACUUCCGGACCGGCCAAGGCCGUCCGAUAGAAGGUAGGAAGGGCCAAGUCGCCCGGAAAUGCCGCCCCCCAUACCCCUUUCCAUAUCUUUUGAAAAGCUUCUCCCUAUGAUCCAAGACAUGUCCGACUUCAGGUGGCCUAGACCCCUCAAAACGGACCCCUCCAAAAGGGAUCAUAGUAAAAAAUGCGCCUACUGUAAGGAGCAUGGUCACACAACGGAGGCGUGCAAGUGCCUCCAUUAUUUGGUCAAAAGGCUCAUACAGGCGGGACAUUUAAAGCAAUACCUCCGCUCAGAUGCCAGAGGUAGAGACGCUUCCCGAAAUCACAACUCUGGAACCCUCAGGGCUUUAGCCGCCCCCAAAGUCGUUAUAAACUAUAUUAACGGAGGCCCACUCAAUGAGGAGUACGACUCCAAACGAAAGAGACAGAGGUUGGUGAGGGCAGCAUCGGUGCGUGAGCAUGUCAACUCCAUCCGGCCUGGGAUAAUUGGGGGUGGGGGAGGGGGGGGGGGGGGGGGCUUAGCCCCAUAGAUGGGACAAUCAUUUUCCCGCCAGUAGACCCCACACGAAUAUUGUAGCCACACCGCGAUGCCCUCAUCCUGUCCCUAGAGAUAGGAGACUUCGACGUGAGACGCAUCCUAGUUGAUCCGGGCAGCUCGGCCGAUCUUGUACAAGCAUCGGUCAUUAGCCACAUGGGAUGCAGUUUAGCAGGCCUCGAAAACCCUGGGCAAAUCUUGUCCGGAUUCAACGGGGCAUCAACUACUUCCUUGGGAGAUAUUGCAUUGUCGGUCUAAACUGACCCAAUCACUCUCAACGUACAAUUUUCGGUGGUACAAGAUUUAUCACCCUUCAAUGUCAUCUUGGGGCGCACAUGGCUGCAUUACAUGAAAGUCAUCCCCUCUACGUAUCAUCAAAUGGUAAGCUUCCUUACCAAGGAUGGGCAAAUCGACCUAUAUGGCAACCAGUUAGCCGCUCGUCAAUGCUACCAGAUAGCAUGAGAAGCAGAGACCAGCCAGGAGGAUAAAACCCUCCCUGAGUCCAGCCAUACACUUGACCAAUAGCAAUUAUUGAGUCCGACGGACAAAGAUCCCUCGGCAGCGGAUCCCUUGCAGGCGAUCCAAAUUUCAGAAGAAGGUACUCACCUUACAUAUAUCAGUUCCCUCCUGACACCAGAAGAGACCCGGAACAUUUAGAACGCCCUCCGACAAAGCCAUGACGUCUUCUCAUGGGCACAUUCUGAUAUGAAGGGAAUUCAUCCCUCCAUCGCCUCUCAUAGGCUUAACAUCUUGCCAACAGCAAGACCCGUCCGACAGAGGGUUAGACGUUUCCACCCGGACAUGCAAAAGAUUAUCCGGGAUGAGAUCGACAAGUUGCUGGAAGCCGGAUUCAUCAGAGAGGUGGAGUACCCGGAUUGGUUGGAAAAUGUAGUGGUGGUACCCAAAAAGGAAGGCAAAUGGCGGGUGUGCGUCGAUUACACCAACCUCAAUAAUGCAUGCCCAAAAGACAGUUUCCCUUUGCCACGUAUCAACCAAAUUGUGGACUCCACUAUUGGGCAAGGGAUGCUCUCCUUCUUGGACACCUUCUUCGGAUACCACCAAAUCCCCAUGUCCCCGACUGACGUAGAAAAAACAGCCUUCAUAACGCCACACGGUCUUUAUUGCUACAAAGUCAUGCCGUUCGAACUCAAAAAUGCUGGCGCCACUUAUCAGAGACUGAUGACGAAGAUCUUCAAACCUCUGGUCGGCCACACAGUAGAGGUAUAUAUUGAUGAUAUCGUGGUUAAAAGCAAAACCCGAGAGGAACAUGUCCUCCAUUUGCAAGAAGUCUUCCACCUCUUAAGGAAGUAUGACAUAAAGUUGAAUCCUGCUAAGUGCGCCUUUGGCGUAAGCGUUGGAAAAUUCUUGGGAUUUAUGGUCAGCCAAAGGGGGAUAGAGGUUAGCCCUGAUCAAGUCAAGGCAGUCAUGGAAACACCACCCCCCAAGAACCAAAAGGAAUUACAGCGCCUCACAGGCAAGCUCGUUGCGCUAGGACGCUUUAUAACUCGCUUCACUAAUGAACUGCGACCUUUCUUCUUGGCAAUACGAAAAGCUGGAGCGAGCGGAUGGACAGACAGCUGUCAGAGCGCUUUUGAAAAAAUUAAACAUUGCCUCAUGCAACCGCCCAUCCUGAGCAGCCCCCUCCCUAAAGAAAAAUUGUAUAUGUAUCUGGCUGUAUCGGAGUGGGCAAUUAUCGUUGUUCUAUUCCGUUGCCCCUCGCCCAAGGAGCAGAAACCUAUUUACUACGUUAGCAGAGCGUUGGCGGACGUAGAAACUAGGUAUUCAAAGAUGGAGCUAACGGCCUUGACUCUUCGAAGUGCCGCCUAGAAGCUCCGCCCUUACUUCCAAGCCCACCCGGUGGUCGUGCUAACUGACCAACCCCUUCGCAGCAUCCUGCACAAACCGGACUUAACCGGAAGAAUGCUUCAAUGGGCCAUAGAGUUGAGCGAAUACAGAAUCGAGUUCCAACCAAGGUUGUCCAUUAAAGGCCAAGUGAUGGCUGACUUCGUGCUAGAAUACUCCUGAAGGCCUAACCAACGCAAAGAACCAAGUGAAAACGAGUCGUGGACUUUGCAGGUUGAUGGAGCCUCCCGGUCAUCAGGAUCCGGAGUAAGGCUCCUGCUGCAAUCCCCAACAGGAGAACAUCUAGAGCAAGCCAUCCGACUGGGGUUUCCCGCCUCUAACAAUGAAGCAGAGUAUGAGGUCAUCCUAUCCGGAUUGGACCUCGCCCUGGCUCUAUCCGUCUCCAAGCUCCGGGUCUAUAGUGAUUCCCAACUCGUGCUAAGGCAUGUCCAGAAGGAAUACGAAGCUAAAGAUGUACGCAUGGCGCGAUAUCUGACUAAAGUAAAGGACACCUUACAACGGUUCACUGAAUGGACGAUCGAAAAAAUUAAACGAACUGAAAAUGGACGUGCCGAUGCCCUGGCAGGCAUAGUUGCCUCCCUCCCCAUCACAGAAGCCAUAUUGUUGCCUAUACAUGUACAAGCCAACCCUUCCGUCGCAGAAGCCUCCACUUGCAAUACCAUUGAGGCAAACCAAGCAGACAACCAAGGAUAGACGGAAGCCGUCAUAGAAUAUCUCCGGACAGGCACUCUGCCCGAAUAGCCCAAGUAGGCACACAAGACCCAGGUACAAGCCGCCCGUUUCACCCUGAUCGGGGGGCACUUGUACAAGCGAUCCUUUACAGGCCCCUAUCUCAGGUGCUUAAACCACUCAGAAGCCCUGUAUGUGUUAACUGAGUUGCAUGAAGGAGUAUGUGGAAAUCAUUUAGGGGGCAGAACCCUGGCGCACUGGGCGCAUUCACAAGGCUAUUAUUGGCCCACGAUGAAAAAAGAUGCGGCAACCUAUGUAAAAAAAUGUGACAAGUGUCAAAGGCAUGCCCCCAUACCACAUGUUCCGUCGGAAACGUUAAAGCCAAUUUCUAGUCCCUAACCCUUCGCGCAGUGGGGCAUGGACAUAGUAGGACCCCUACCAAUUGCAGCUACUCAGAAAAAAUUCCUGCUCGUCGCCACAGAUUACUUCAGUAAAUGGGUGGAAGUUGAAGCAUACGCUAGCAUCAAAGACAAAGAUGUCAUCAAGUUCGUAUGGAAGAACAUCAUCUGCCGCUUCGGAAUCCCCCAAACCAUUAUAGCCGACAACGGUCCACAGUUUGAUAGCAUCGCUUUCCAGAAUUUUUUUUUCGGAACUAAACAUCUGGAAUUCAUACUCCACACCGUGCUAUCCUCAAAGUAAUGGGCAAGCAGAAGCCACAAACAAGAUCUUAAUAACUGCCUUAAAGAAGAGGCUCGAGCAAGCCAAAAGGAAGUGGGUGGAGGAGCUACCUGGCGUCCUGUGGGCUUAUCGAACCACACCCGGACGUUCGAUAGGAAACACUCCCUUCGCCCUCCCAUACGGUAUGGACGCAGUCAUUCUUACUGAAAUAGGGCUACCCACUAUCCGGACCAAGGCAGGAGAGCAGGAUGAUGCAAAUGCGGAGUUAGGAAGGAACUUGGACUGGGCAGACGAAGUAGGAGAAACUGCAUCCAUCUGGAUGGCAGACUAUCAACAAAGGGCAGCCGCUCACUACAAUCGCAAGGCAAGACCCGAAAGUUUCAAAAGUGGAACGCUGGUUCUUAGAAAGAUUUUCGAAAACACUGCUGAGACGGGAGCAGGAAAGUUUCAAGCCAAUUGGGAAGGUCCUUAUAUAGUGUCCAAGACAAGUGAAAGUGAAGUCUAUCAUCUACAGAAGCUAGAUGGAACCCCAUUGCUUCGACCAUGGAAUGUACCCAAUCUAAAGCAAUAUUACCAAUGAAGCAAAAACAGAAGUACAAAAUGAAUGAGUAUGUUUUAUUAAUACUUGUGAAAUUUUAUACAAAAAGGCUCUUCGGACUACUAAUACAGAGAGAAAAAGCAGUAAAAGUUACAAAAAGAAAAGCUCUCAUUGGGAGGGCUUGCGAUGCAACUUUUCUUUCUCGCCCGGGGGAAUCGAAGGGACAUCCCGUUUGAUGCAAUGCUUCUUCAUGCAGCAAUGGUAGCCAAAGAGAUACAUCUCGUCUACCUGCUUCUGGUAGUCCGUCUCGAGUUCCUCUCUCUCCGCAGCAAACUCAACCUCCAACUCUUCUUUUUGUGUUGAUAAGCGCAACUGCAAAUCCUCUUUCUGUUUUUUCUCAAUUGACACCUCUGUCCUGAGUUGUCUUACUUCCCCCCUCAGUUGGGCCGUCUCGUUUUCCGCCUCGUGCAAGCGGGCGUCGGUAGCUUCCUCUCGGCUCUUCGCCUCUGCUAGCUCUAUCCGGAUAGCCUCGUUGUCAUCCUGGGACCUCUUCAAGGCUUCAGCACUCUUUUCAGAGGCUCUCCGGGCAGCGGAUAAGCUGGCUUCGGCCUGCUCCAAUCUCGAGCGCAAUUCCUCUUCACCGCUCAUGUGCUGGGAGACGAAGGCCUUCAUGUGAUCGGAAACCCGCAGCAAGUUUGUAAAAAGAUCGUGUUGUCGAACCAUGCCGCGAAUACCACUCACCAGCUGCAGGAAAAACCCACAACAAAAAGUACAAGUUGCAAGCCAUGUAAAAAGCACACCAGUAUGGCAAGAAAAAUCAAAGGAGGAUAAGUUAUACCAUUUCCAUCGCUUCAAACAUUUUCGCUGUAGGCGUAGCAACAUCUGAGCCGGAUGGAAUCCGUUUUAACAUAUCUCCCAACUCCGCAUAGCUGACAGGACUAGCGGAGGUGCAAGUUGCAUCAUCAACGGGACUCUCCCCUGACGAGGCACUAGGGUGUGACUCCUCCCCCGGCUCCGGACCCCCAUCAUGCAUGGUCGGCUGGAUCUCUUCGGGCGAACCCUCAUCCGGGACCAACACCGGGUCGGUUGGGUUCUCUUCCGCCAUCUCCGUCUCACUCUCCUCCGGAUGAUCCUCCUGGGCGGAUGAGCAGCUGACUUCGAUGGUUUCCAGAAGAAUAUCCUGAAGCCGCCCGCUGAUGCCAGACUUUAAAUCGUGAGCCAGACGAGACCUCCUUGUAGCUGGCCUUUUCACCGGUACAAGGGCAAGGGAGCUCGACUCACAAGGGGGCAAACCCUGCCCUUCAACCCUCGUUUCUUCCAUUGGAGGCGCCAUAGAAGGCAACGUUUCAGCGCAAGAAGCCUCGGCUACACCCGCGUCCGGAGGGGAAGAGUCGGGCUGACACACUGAGAUUGCUUCCUCAACCAGAAGAGCCAUCCGUUUAGCCGCUGGCAUUGAAGGCCCCGAUCCGUUUAGACCCGUGAGACGUCCGGAACCGCUUGAAACAGAAGACAAACCGGAGGAAGCUGGAGAUCUUAUUAUUAUUCCCUCCACGGGAGCUGGAGAGCUUAUUACUAUUCCCUUUGUGGGAGCUGGCGAUUUUAUUACUACUCUAUUUUCGGGAGUUGGAGGUUUUAUUGCUUUUCCCUUUGAGGGAACCUUUUUCUUCGUUCUAGUUGGGGCGGCAGUAGGAGGAGAGGGCGCGGAGCGUUUAUCACCAGGGGCCUUCCGCAAAGUCCCCUCUUGCUUUUUUUUCCUCCCGUUCGUUGAGAAGUGCUUUGCGUGCUUGGGCGUCUGCCUUUUGCACCGUCGUGUAGAAUGAGAGAUCUUUUAAAAUGAAAUGCUUCCCAGCCACCACCUCUUUGGGCAGCCGCCUCGGGAGUAUGUUGAGCACGUACGGCUGGGGCACUUGGGUAACCAAGCGGAGAUUCUGCGCGGAGAGAAGCGUUUCACAGCUCCUCUCGUUUGCCGCAAUCUAAAAUAGCCUGUUCAACCGGUCAAACGAGGCUUUUUCCACCCACUCUACCACCUUCCCCCUCCUAUCCUUGCCUGCACCCAAGAAAACAAAGCAUGUCAACCACCUAAUAAUGUUGACCUAACUCACAACCACGGGAGGACAGGGAGCAACUUAUACAUACCUAGGACCUUCAAUGACCGGUUGAGAGCAAACUGCUUGUUCGGAUGCGUGGUCAAACCCACCCAUACACCCUUGAACAGCACGUGUAAAAAGAACCUCCAGUAGUGAAAGGUCCAAGUUGAACAGCAUGCUCAGGAUGCUGCACCCCAUCAGCACCCGGACCAUGUUCGGAUGGAUGUAAGCCGGAUCCGGGUGACGUGGAGAAAUUCUUUGAACAAUGAUGGGAGAGAGAACCGGAGCCCAGCAUUGAAUUGCUCCUUGGUGAAGUAGAUAGCGUUGUCCGCAGAUUUCUCAGUCGACAUGGCCUCUUCGUCCACAAGGUGAACGGACACUCCAUUCGGGAUGCAGAAGCGUUCGCAGAACUCCCUCACGUUUAGCUUGUCCACAGAUUUUUCCGCAUGGACCUCUCCGGACGCAUCUUUGCCGCUCUACCCGGCCGCACUAGACGAAGCAGCGUUCUUUUUCGCAGACAUUUUUUAGAGUAGGGUUGAAGCAAAACCUGCAUGACAGAAUGUCAACAGUAAAAAACAUGGACCCGACCCCACAACCCUAACGGCAAAAAACGCUCAGAAAACCUAACAUCACCAGUAUCCCCAUCCCAACCCUUGGCUCUACCACAAACAAAAAUCGGUAGCCCACAAAAGGCGCAGGGGGGCAACAGAAACCCUAACGCACCCAAAACACGAUCAAAACCCCCUGAAAAAACCCUAAAAACCAAUAUCGACCCCCAAUCGUAAAGUAGAUUGCCCAACAAGCCAGAAACAACCAUAAAGCAAACACAAACGAGGACAAGGCAGAAAUAGAGAACGUACCGAGUGUAAAAUGGCAAAAUGGAGAUAAAGUCCACGGUGCACUCACCGUCACUGAUCGAAUAUUGCUAGCAGAAACCCUAGAACCUCACUCACAGACGAAGAUACGCAGAAGGCUGAAGAGAAAGCGCUACCAAUAGAAAAUGCAGAAGAAAAAAUGCAACAGUAGGGGGCUCGAUCUGCUAUUUAUAGUGGACAGCCCCUCGGUAUCCCAAACGACCAACCGCGCCGUUUCUGAAAAGACACGCUGCUUGGAAAUUCCCAGAGAUGUCGGCUCAUCAUAAAUGCUCUUUUUCCUUUUUCGCCCCCGCGCACCACGUGGCCCAAUGAGCGCAAAAAGUAACCUCAGAUUCAAAAACAAUCAUUUUUUAACCUGCUCAUUCUGCCCGGACAAAAUCGGCAGGUUAAAAGGGGGGCAUUGUAGGGACCCUUCCCCCUGAUGACACAUGGCGCGCCUCGCUGUCCGGAGCGACUCCAUCCGGACUCCCCAAAGAAGGACACGUGGCGCGCUCCCCCUAUCCGAAUUCCCUCAGGGAGAAGCACACGGCACUCGCAAGCAUCACAUCCGGACGAUAGCAUAUCCUAUCCGAAUAUGUUGUCCGGAUCGUUGACUAAAGUAAGCAAGUCUUAAUGACAGCCUGCCACAGCCCACGUUUCACCACCUGCAGAGCGAAAGGACAGAAGUGAUGGCAAGUCACCUUCUACGAUCUCUGACAGCCGCCCGUAGGGUGAUGAUGGCCCUGCCAUCACCUAGAGGCAUCAUGACGAGCCAAAAAGUCUCCCUACCAUUAAAGAGGAGGACAGAGCUUCUGAUACUAUAUAUAUGGACCUUCACACAAGGAGGAAGGUAAGCUUGCUAUACCUAGUAAAAGGUCAACUGAUUAAUCUCUCUAAGAUAUGGCUGACAAAACCAUCGGAGGGUGUGUCCGGACACCCUGUCCGGACAUCUUUUGCAAGGACAACUGAACCAGAACUCUAUCUUGGUUGAAAACGUGCGUCCAUUUGGCAGUUACGUGGAUCAUCGGGACGCAAGGCCUCAACAACCACCACCAUCGUCGCCUCGGUACUCAGAUGCAGACUAUAAUUAAAUUUUCGAAGACGGUGACUCUAUAAUAAUAAGUCUUUCAAUAGUCAAUACUUCCGAUUCGAAAGUAUGACUAUAAUAAUUAAAUUUAAAAAUUUUAAAAUCAUUUUUAUUCUCAAUAUUGGGAACAAAGUCUUCCAUUAUUUUUUUUAAAAAAAUGCAGUAGUGUUAAAACAAUUUAUCUUCAAAACUAAUGUUAAAAAAAAAGUAAAAUUAAAUAAAAAUUAGUUUCACCUAUUAUUAUAUUUUUAUUUUCUAGCUUUUGGAUGUUGUUAUCAUUUUUUCCCUUCAUGUGCUAGGAUGACCGAGUUGAAUUUGUUAUUUGGGUGGAGCUAAUUUGUUUAAAUAUUCAUUCUUUGGGGAAUAAAAAUAAUUUUAAUAUAGCAAAACUAAAACAUAUAAUAUAGAAGAUGGACAAAGUUAAGGUAAACACUCAAAGAAAAUUAAGAUUUUGGGACUUCUCAAUUU